GAUGAACGCUGGCGGCGUGCUUAACACAUGCAAGUCGAACGAUGAAGCCCAUCUUGCUGGGUGGAUUAGUGGCGAACGGGCGAAUAACACGUGAGUAACCUGCCCUUGACUCUGGGAUAAGCGCUGGAAACGGCGUCUAAUCCCGGAUACCAGCUUCCACCGCAGGGUGAGUUGCUGGAAAGAAUUUCGGUCAAGGAUGGACUCGCGGCCUAUCAGGUAGUUGGUGAGGUAACGGCUCACCAAGCCGACGACGGGUAGCCGGCCUGAGAGGGUGACCGGCCACACUGGGACUGAGACACGGCCCAGACUGCUACGGGAGGCAGCAGUGGGGAAUAUUGCACAAUGGGCGCAAGCCUGAUGCAGCAACGCCGCGUGAGGGACGAAGGCCUUCGGGUCGUAAACAUCUUUUAGCAGGGAAGAAGCGAAAGUGACGGUACCUGCAGAAAAAGCACCGGCUAACUACGUG
This 466-nucleotide ribosomal RNA is filed under the name uncultured bacterium. RNAcentral describes it as "partial 16S ribosomal RNA". It matches the Rfam family "Bacterial small subunit ribosomal RNA", at positions 28 to 507 of the family's 1533-position model. The record is from RNAcentral.